GUUAUUAAUGAACUGCUGGAUGAGUUGUCAGGAGCUGCUUGGUUUACUAAACUGGAUUUAAGAGCAGGUUAUCAUCAGAUACGUCUAGCCCCACGAGAGGAAUACAAAACUGCUUUUCAAACCCAUGAUGGUCAUUAUGAAUUCACUGUGUUGGCCAUGGGGCUUGCUGGAGGACCUGGCACCUUCCAAGGGGCCAUGAAUACUACACUCACUCCUACUAACAGGAAAACCACUCUCUGUUUCUUUGAUGAUAUAAUGGUAUUCAGCAAAACAUAUGCAGAACAUUUGACACAUGUCAGAGAGGUCCUUUGUCUUUUGAGGGCUGACCAGUGGAAGGUUAAACUCACUAAAUGUGCUUUUGCCCAA
This 366-nucleotide ribosomal RNA is filed under the name Triticum aestivum (bread wheat). RNAcentral's name for it is "partial small subunit ribosomal RNA". The record is from RNAcentral. Lineage: Eukaryota; Viridiplantae; Streptophyta; Magnoliopsida; Poales; Poaceae.